CUGAACACGAGUCGAAGGCAGUCUGAUAGUCACGUGACGUCAGGAUAGAUCCCGCCAACUGAAUGUUCCGCGCUUUACUUUACCGUGCUGUGUUACAAGAAUAAUUACGCAAAUUCAUCUUAAUAUAUCAUCAUCAAGCAUAAUCAUCCAGCAUAAUCAUCCAUUGCAAUCCAGCAUAAUCGAUUCCUACGACUGUCAGAUUUAUGCUUGCGUACGUAGCAUAUCUACGAUUCGACGCGCGAGAGACAACCCAAGAUUGCGGAAAGAACGAGAAAGAGAGAGUGCAUCUGCUGAAGAAAAGAUGCGCGGCCAGUGCAGCUGCAACGAGUUUGUCACUCAUUCUUAAGUCCUGCAGAGAGAGGUUCGUCUGGACGUCGGGCAAGCGUCGAUAUAUCGACGUGUACGUGCGCAGCCGAGGACGAUAGCCUGGAAGAGAAAUUCAACGUAGUAAAUGGGAGAACGACGGGGACCCGAUAUUACGUACUUCCCGAUACAAGCUGAGCGA
Molecule: long non-coding RNA, 505 nt
Organism: Cataglyphis hispanica
Lineage: Eukaryota; Metazoa; Arthropoda; Insecta; Hymenoptera; Formicidae
Exons: 3
Source: RefSeq, a predicted model, not a curated record